UACGGAGGGUGCGAGCGUUGUCCGGAAUCACUGGGCGUAAAGGGCGCGUAGGCGGCCCGGUAAGUAGGAGGUGAAAUCCCGGAGCUCAACUUCGGAAUUGCCUCCGAUACUCCCGUGCUUGAGGACUGGAGAGGAGUCUGGAAUUCACAGUGGAGCAGUGAAAUGCGUAGAUAUUGUGAGGAACACUAGUGGCGAAGGCGAGACUCUGGACAGUUCCUGACGCUGAGGCACGAAGGCCAGGGGAGCAAACGGG
Molecule: ribosomal RNA, 253 nt
Filed under: uncultured bacterium
Lineage: Bacteria
Description: partial 16S ribosomal RNA
Rfam family: Bacterial small subunit ribosomal RNA
Source: RNAcentral